RNAcentral lists this ribosomal RNA (263 nucleotides) under uncultured fungus. RNAcentral's name for it is "partial small subunit ribosomal RNA". It matches the Rfam family "Eukaryotic small subunit ribosomal RNA", at positions 1313 to 1591 of the family's 1831-position model. Lineage: Eukaryota; Fungi. The record is from RNAcentral.
GUCUGGUUAAAUUCCGUUAACGAACGAGACCUUAAUCUGCUAAAUAGUUAGACUUAAGCAUUGUUUAAGUCGUUUUAGCUUCUUAGAGGGACUAUCGGNGUUUAACCGAUGGAAGUUUGAGGCAAUAACAGGUCUGUGAUGCCCUUAAAUGUUCUGGGCCGCACGCGCGCUACACUGAUGAAGUCAACGAGUUCAUUCCCUUUAUCGGAAGAUAUGGGUAAUCUUUUGAAACUUCAUCGUGCUGGGGAUAGGGCAUUGCAAUG